CAGUAGCCGCGGUAAUACGAAGGGUGCAAGCGUUAAUCGGAAUUACUGGGCGUAAAGCGUGCGUAGGCGGUGAGUUAAGUCUGCUGUGAAAUCCCCGGGCUCAACCUGGGAAUGGCAGUGGAUACUGGCUCGCUAGAGUGUGUCAGAGGAUGGUGGAAUUCCCGGUGUAGCGGUGAAAUGCGUAGAGAUCGGGAGGAACAUCAGUGGCGAAGGCGGCCAUCUGGGACAACACUGACGCUGAGGCACGAAAGCGUGGGGAGCAAACAGGAUUAGAUACCCCAGUAGUCCUGUCUCUUAUACA
RNAcentral lists this ribosomal RNA (301 nucleotides) under uncultured bacterium. RNAcentral describes it as "partial 16S ribosomal RNA". It matches the Rfam family "Bacterial small subunit ribosomal RNA", at positions 509 to 809 of the family's 1533-position model. The record is from RNAcentral.